This 1436-nucleotide long non-coding RNA is filed under the name Astyanax mexicanus (Mexican tetra). RNAcentral's name for it is "lncRNA (ENSAMXG00005009059.1)". The record is from RNAcentral. Lineage: Eukaryota; Metazoa; Chordata; Actinopteri; Characiformes; Acestrorhamphidae.
ACCGUCCAGCAGCUCUCGGCCGGAGGAGACGGCAGUGUGUGCCAGCAGGGGGCAGCAGUAUUAGUGCAGGAGAGUCCAGCGGGAGGCAGCACUGAGGGGUUUAAGGGGUCCGGAGCUCCGGGGGCAGACUUGAUGUCAUCUGCCCCGGGGAUAAUGGGGGAGUAUGACGGAAGGGGAGGGGCAACAGGUAAUAAAAAAUAUAAAGAUGUGUACACAUUUAGUUUCUUUGCACAUAAAAGACUUUUUUAAAGUCGGGGUUUCUGUUUUUCUGUCUGAGCUGAAUAAUGUGAUUUUGAUCCAGAUUAAGAAAUGCGGUGUUAAACCUGACUAAUGUGUUUUUUUAAAAUGCUUUUUAAAUAGAGAAUUGCUGCCAUUAGAAUACGACUCUCUGCAGAAGAUAUAUAAACAUGAGGCUGUUUUUGCACCAGGAGUAAAUUCUGAUCUGUGGAGCAGUGGAACUGUGUUCUACAUUGGGAUGGAAUGAGUUGGGAAUGACCUCAAUAACAUUCUUGUUGCUGAAAGCAGUUAAAUCCUCACAGCAAUUCUCUGAGUGAAGAAUCUAGUAGAAAGUAUUUCUGGACAGUAGAGACAGUUACUCCAACAAAAGCAGGAUAAACUCUUUUAAUACCCAUAAUGCCAUGCAUCUUUUUAAAGUGUGUGUGUGUGUGUGUGUGUAGCUUUAACUGAAAGUGGAGGAGUCCGUCCUUCAUCUGCCCUUCCCCUGACGCUAACACCGGCAGCAUACACACAACCCUGCCAGGUACACACACACACACACACACCUUACACUAUUACACACAGCCCAGCCAGGUACACACACUCAGCACUGUGUGUGUGUGUGUGUGUUUGUGUGUGUGCGUGUGUGUUUGUGUGUACACGUGUGUGUGUGUGUGUGUGUGUGUGUCUGUUUGUGUGUACACGUGUGUGUGUUUGUGUGUGUGUUUGUGUGUACACAUGUGUGUGUUUGUGUGUACACAUGUGUGUUUGUGUGUGUGCACGUGUGUGUGUGUGUUUGUGUGUUUGUGUGUACACGUGUGUGUGUUUGUGUGUGUGUGUGUUUGUGUGUGUAGGCUACACUGCCCCAGCAGGUUGAGACAGCAGGAAAGCCUCAGCCGGCGACUCCAGGAACAGCGUUUGAGCGACAGCAGUACCGUGACUGUUUAAGUAAUUAGUGUUGCUCGUUCCUGUAGCUGAUCCUGAUGUAUCCACCUAUCAGUAUGAUGAAAGCUCGGGAUAUUACUAUGACCCUUUCACUGGCCUCUACUACGAUCCAAACUCUCAGGUAACAGUAUUACACUUGUAACACCAUUACACCCAUUGCAGCACCCCAUCAUGGCAGGGCCCCCCCAUCACAGGGUCUCCCAUAACCCUAUCGCAGAUUCCCCCGAUUCCCCCAUCGCAAAGUUCCCUAUUCCCCAUCACUGAUUCCCCCAUUA